AUCUACCACGCGUCCACUGCGGUUCUGAUCGCGCCGUCCGCGCCCACCUGACAGCUGCGUAGUCGUUUUAUUAGCC
Molecule: small RNA, 76 nt
Filed under: Xanthomonas oryzae
Lineage: Bacteria; Pseudomonadati; Pseudomonadota; Gammaproteobacteria; Lysobacterales; Lysobacteraceae
Also listed under: 1 other name
Description: sX9 sRNA
Rfam family: Xanthomonas sRNA sX9
Source: RNAcentral